RNAcentral lists this transfer RNA (60 nucleotides) under Escherichia coli. Its description in RNAcentral is "tRNA-Met". It matches the Rfam family "tRNA", at positions 7 to 64 of the family's 71-position model. Rfam says of the family: Transfer RNA (tRNA) molecules are approximately 80 nucleotides in length. Lineage: Bacteria; Pseudomonadati; Pseudomonadota; Gammaproteobacteria; Enterobacterales; Enterobacteriaceae. The record is from RNAcentral.
UUAGCUCAGUGGUUAGAGCAGGCGACUCAUAAUCGUCCGGUCGCUGGUUCAAGUCCAGCA